GGGUUGUGAGGUUAAGCGACUAAGCGUACACGGUGGAUGCCCUGGCAGUCAGAGGCGAUGAAGGACGUGCUAAUCUGCGAUAAGCGCCGGUAAGGUGAUAUGAACCGUUAUAACCGGCGAUUUCCGAAUGGGGAAACCCAGUGUGACUCGUCACACUAUCAUUAACUGAAUCCAUAGGUUAAUGAGGCGAACCGGGGGAACUGAAACAUCUAAGUACCCCGAGGAAAAGAAAUCAACCGAGAUUCCCCCAGUAGCGGCGAGCGAACGGGGAGGAGCCCAGAGUCUGAAUCAGCAUGUGUGUUAGUGGAAGCGUCUGGAAAGGCGCGCGAUACAGGGUGACAGCCCCGUACACAAAAGCGCAUAUGCUGUGAGCUCGAUGAGUAGGGCGGGACACGUGGUAUCCUGUCUGAAUAUGGGGGGACCAUCCUCCAAGGCUAAAUACUCCUGACUGACCGAUAGUGAACCAGUACCGUGAGGGAAAGGCGAAAAGAACCCCGGCGAGGGGAGUGAAAAAGAACCUGAAACCGUGUACGUACAAGCAGUGGGAGCACCCUUUGGGGUGUGACUGCGUACCUUUUGUAUAAUGGGUCAGCGACUUAUAUUCUGUAGCAAGGUUAACCGUAUAGGGGAGCCG
This 634-nucleotide ribosomal RNA is filed under the name Salmonella enterica. RNAcentral describes it as "partial 23S ribosomal RNA". It matches the Rfam family "Bacterial large subunit ribosomal RNA", at positions 1 to 668 of the family's 2925-position model. RNAcentral also lists the same sequence under 1 other name. Lineage: Bacteria; Pseudomonadati; Pseudomonadota; Gammaproteobacteria; Enterobacterales; Enterobacteriaceae. The record is from RNAcentral.